Molecule: long non-coding RNA, 340 nt
Organism: Corvus hawaiiensis (hawaiian crow)
Lineage: Eukaryota; Metazoa; Chordata; Aves; Passeriformes; Corvidae
Exons: 4
Source: RefSeq, a predicted model, not a curated record
CAGGUAACAGGUGCCAGGUGAGGUGCCAGGUGCCAGGUGAGGUGCCAGGUGCCGGCUCGCCUCUCUCAGGUGGCGUCACCGCGAUGGAAGGGGGGUCAGGGAAGGGUGAGGGGACAGGUGAGGGGACAGUGCCAGGUAACAAUGACAGGUAACAGGUGCCAGGUGAGGCUGCCAGGUGCCGGCUCACCUCUCUCAGGUGGCGUCACCCCGCGAUGGAAGGGGGGUCAGGGACAGGUGAGGGGACAGGUGACGGGACAGGUGAGGGGACAGUGACAGGUAACAGUGCCAGGUAACAGGUGCCAGGUGCCAGGUGCCAGGUGAGGUGCCAGGUGCCGGCUCA